UAAGGGAUCUUCCGCAAUGGACGCAAGUCUGACGGAGCGACGCCGCGUGCGCGACGAAGCCCUUCGGGGUGUAAAGCGCUUUUCUCAGGGACGAUACCAGACGGUACCUGAGGAAGAAGCCUCGGCUAACUACGUGCAGCAGCCGCGGUAAUACGUAGGAGGCAAGCGUUGUCCGGAAUUACUGGGCGUAAAGCGCGUGUAGGCGGAUGUCUAAGUCUGUCGUGAAAGCGCCUGGCUUAACCGGGCGAGGUCGAUGGAAACUAGGCGUCUAGAGGCCGGUAGAGGGGGGUGGAAUUCCGGGUGUAGUGGUGAAAUGCGUAGAGAUCCGGAGGAACACCUGUGGCGAAGGCGGCCCCCUGGGCCGGGCCUGACGCUGAGACGCGAAAGCGCGGGGAGCGAACGGGAUUAGAUACCCCGGUAGUCCGCGCAGUAAACGAUGUCCACUAGGUGUGGGGGGUAUCGAGCCCCUCCGUGCCGCAGCCAACGCAGUAAGUGGACCGCCUGGGGAGUACGGCCGCAAGGUUAAAACUCAAAUGAAUUGAC
This 543-nucleotide ribosomal RNA is filed under the name uncultured bacterium. RNAcentral's name for it is "bacterial SSU rRNA". It matches the Rfam family "Bacterial small subunit ribosomal RNA", at positions 355 to 914 of the family's 1533-position model. The record is from RNAcentral.